RNAcentral lists this long non-coding RNA (456 nucleotides) under Gallus gallus (chicken). Lineage: Eukaryota; Metazoa; Chordata; Aves; Galliformes; Phasianidae. The record is from RNAcentral.
CGCUACCAUCAGCCUCCUGCAUUGCCUCGGAGCACGUAGGGAAACCGAGGCCGGAGUGAUGAGCCCUGGUGUCAGUUCCCAUUGAACAUCAAACCCCUCGGAGCUGGAGGGGGACGUGGGAAGCCUGGCCUUCCCCACCCCGCUGCUCCCUGGUCCCCCCCUGCCUUCUCCGGGCCCGGUUUGUCCUUCCUCUGCCCGGGGGGCUGGCGGUGGCUGAGCACAACGUGGUGCACCCAGUCGAUGUAGUUGGAGAUCCUGGUGUAAAUGUCGGGGUACCGGCGGUCCCCACAUCUCUCCCCGGAGAACGAGACGACGCCGUAAACCUUCCCCUUGAAGACCAGGGGUCCCCCAGAGUCACCCGCACAGACGCCCUGCAGCGUGGCAUUGCGGCUGGCCCCGCACAGCAUGUUGCCCGAGACACGGCCCUUCCAUAGGGUCCGACACAGACUCCUCUUG